Labeo rohita (rohu) is the source of this 73-nucleotide non-coding RNA. NCBI's taxonomy places the organism in Eukaryota, Metazoa, Chordata, Actinopteri, Cypriniformes, Cyprinidae. The record is from the annotation of a RefSeq genome assembly.
CCUUCGAUAGCUCAGUUGGUAGAGCGGAGGACUGUAGAUCCUUAGGUCGCUGGUUCGAAUCCGGCUCGAAGGA